RNAcentral lists this long non-coding RNA (238 nucleotides) under Capsicum annuum. Its description in RNAcentral is "long non-coding RNA (CANN_LNC006189)". Lineage: Eukaryota; Viridiplantae; Streptophyta; Magnoliopsida; Solanales; Solanaceae. The record is from RNAcentral.
AAGAUUCAAAAUCAAUAAAUACACAUAGAAAUUUAAAAAAAAAAUUCUAUUGAAUACGUGCCAUGAACCUAGCCAAAAAUUUGUUGGACAACAUUAUAAUAAUUUCAAUCAAAUAAUCACAAAACAAAAACAAAUUAAAUCAGAACAUGAAAAAAAAAUUCACAACAAUUGACAUAUAAAAACAAUUAAAAUAGUACAUGAAAUUCAUUUCUUAUUGUAUUACUUAAUACUUCUUUCU